This 99-nucleotide ribosomal RNA is filed under the name uncultured bacterium. Its description in RNAcentral is "partial 16S ribosomal RNA". It matches the Rfam family "Bacterial small subunit ribosomal RNA", at positions 1384 to 1482 of the family's 1533-position model. The record is from RNAcentral.
UACACACCGCCCGUCACAUCACGAAAGCCAGUUGUACCAGAAGCCGGCGAUUUAACCGCAAGGGAAUAGCCGUCCAAGGUAUGACUGGUGAUUGGGGUG